GAAACCGUGUACGUACAAGCAGUGGGAGCCCCACCACUAAGCCAGUGGUGAACUCCACAUACGCAUCCUUUGCUGAGGAUACGGUUAACGGAGCGAAAGCGACGUUCAACCUCAAAAGAAGCAGAGGGGGCUUAGUGGUGGGGUGACUGCGUACCUUUUGUAUAAUGGGUCAGCGACUUAUAUUCUGUAGCAAGGUUAACCGAAUAGGGGAGCCGGAGGGAAACCGAGUCUUAACCGGGCGUUAA
Molecule: ribosomal RNA, 245 nt
Filed under: Salmonella enterica
Lineage: Bacteria; Pseudomonadati; Pseudomonadota; Gammaproteobacteria; Enterobacterales; Enterobacteriaceae
Description: partial 23S ribosomal RNA
Rfam family: Bacterial large subunit ribosomal RNA
Source: RNAcentral